RNAcentral lists this ribosomal RNA (254 nucleotides) under uncultured bacterium. RNAcentral's name for it is "partial 16S ribosomal RNA". It matches the Rfam family "Bacterial small subunit ribosomal RNA", at positions 524 to 776 of the family's 1533-position model. The record is from RNAcentral.
CACGUAGGGUGCGAGCGUUGUCCGGAAUUAUUGGGCGUAAAGAGCUCGUAGGCGGUCCGUCACGUCGGAUGUGAAAUUCCAGGGCUCAACCCUGGACCUGCAUUCGAUACGGGCGGACUAGAGUUCGGUAGGGGAGACUGGAAUUCCUGAUGUAGCGGUGAAAUGCGCAGAUAUCAGGAGGAAACACCGGUGGCGAAGGCGAGUCCCUGGACAACACCUGACACUGAGGCACGAAAGCCGGGGGAGCAAACAGG